Molecule: ribosomal RNA, 1092 nt
Filed under: Triticum aestivum (bread wheat)
Lineage: Eukaryota; Viridiplantae; Streptophyta; Magnoliopsida; Poales; Poaceae
Description: partial small subunit ribosomal RNA
Source: RNAcentral
AUGAAGAGACUUUUGAGAGGCUCGUCGAGCCGAAGCUCUAAGGAAAAACAAAAGGAAGAAGAGGAGAAGCCCAAAUUUAAUUUGCCUCGCACCGCGGAGGUCCGGCCGUGUGAAUGGCCUUCCGAUGACUUCUUGAGGAGAGCUGGGAUUUAUGAAGAUUUCUAUUUAUUGAUUGAGAAUGCUGGCCUCACCAACAUCCUCCACGACCAACAUCAUCAGUAUCUCUUAAUCACAAAUACUUUUGUGCAAAACUUCUACUUUUUCCCUAAGAAAUCACCUCCAACAGUAGAGUUUCAUUUAUAUGAUGUUGUUAAAGAGAUGACAUUAGCUGAAUUCUGUGAGGUUUGCAAAAUACCCUUUGAGGGCAACUUAGAUGAACCCUACCGUAAUGAAGUAGAAGCUUUUAUUAACACUAUCACUGUGGGAGAAACCAGGAAGGUUUCUGAUGCAAGGAUCACUAGCAUACAUUUUCCUAUUUUACGCUACUUUGCCUUAUUUGCUAGUUGUUGCUUGAUUGGACGCGGGAACUAUGGGAACCUUAGUAUUCCUGAUAUUAUUAUUUUGCUCCAUGGUUUAUACCGCAAUAACUCUGUUAGUAUGGGUGGAAUUGUUGCUAGACGGUUAAGUUUGAACCGCACUAAGGGCCCAAUCUUUGGAGGCAUUUAUGCUUCACGCCUAGUUGAAAUUUUUGAAAUACCUAUUAGGCAUGAGGAGAAAGAAGAAACAGCGCUGCCCCGUGCUUAUUUAGAUUAUAAGAGUAUGAUAGCGCAUGAUUUUCUUGUUAAGAGUCGCGAUGGGGAGCUCAAAUAUAAAUUAUACUUUGAUAAACAUCACCCUGGGACUAUUACUUUGCCUGCUCCUUCUUUGUUUAACUUGUCUGCAGAACUUCACAUCGUUCCGUGGUCGGCUGUUCAAGCCUAUCGGAACCCUGCACCAGCCCCGGAUCCGGAGCCACAUGAUGAGCCUCCACGACUAUCUGUUUAUUCUUGGGAUCCAGAGGAGGCUGCCAGCCAGUGCCAGUCAGAGUCUUCUUCGUCACACUAUGACCCCAGCUACACCUACGGGUAUCCGCCAGGCCAUCCCUGGAAAUAA